RNAcentral lists this ribosomal RNA (301 nucleotides) under uncultured bacterium. Its description in RNAcentral is "partial 16S ribosomal RNA". It matches the Rfam family "Bacterial small subunit ribosomal RNA", at positions 509 to 809 of the family's 1533-position model. The record is from RNAcentral.
CAGUAGCCACGGUAAUACGAAGGGGGCUAGCGUUGUUCGGAAUUACUGGGCGUAAAGCGCACGUAGGCGGACAUUUAAGUCAGGGGUGAAAUCCCGGGGCUCAACCCCGGAACUGCCUUUGAUACUGGGUGUCUAGAGUAUGGAAGAGGUGAGUGGAAUUCCGAGUGUAGAGGUGAAAUUCGUAGAUAUUCGGAGGAACACCAGUGGCGAAGGCGGCUCACUGGUCCAUUACUGACGCUGAGGUGCGAAAGCGUGGGGAGCAAACAGGAUUAGAUACCCCCGUAGUCCCUGUCUCUUAUAA